UCGAGAAUAUUUUCCAAUGCGCGAAAGCGUGAGAAUGCGACGCCGCGUGGAGGACGAAGGCCUUCGGGUCGUAAACUCCUUUUAAGAGGGAAGAAAAGUCGAAGGUUAAUACCUUUCGACCGUGACGUUACCUUUUGAAUAAGCAACGGCUAAACCUGUGCCAGCAGCCGCGGUAAUACAGGUGUUGCAAGCGUUACUCGGAUUCACUGGGUGUAAAGGGUCAGCAGGCGGCUUUGUAAGUCUUAGGUGAAAUCCAGCGGCUCAACUGCUGAACUGCCUAAGAUACUGCAUGGCUAGAGUACGAUAGAGGAGAGUGGAACAGCUAGUGUAAAGGUGAAAUUUGUGGAUAUUAGCUGGAACGCCAACGGUGAAGACAGCUCUCUGGAUCGUUACUGACGCUCAGGGACGAAAGCGUAGGGAGCAAACAGG
Molecule: ribosomal RNA, 429 nt
Filed under: uncultured bacterium
Lineage: Bacteria
Description: bacterial SSU rRNA
Rfam family: Bacterial small subunit ribosomal RNA
Source: RNAcentral